Molecule: ribosomal RNA, 489 nt
Filed under: uncultured Corynebacterium sp.
Lineage: Bacteria; Bacillati; Actinomycetota; Actinomycetes; Mycobacteriales; Corynebacteriaceae
Description: bacterial SSU rRNA
Rfam family: Bacterial small subunit ribosomal RNA
Source: RNAcentral
AGAGUUUGAUCCUGGCUCAGGACGAACGCUGGCGGCGUGCUUAACACAUGCAAGUCGAACGGAAAGGCCUCUUGCUUGCAAGGGGUACUCGAGUGGCGAACGGGUGAGUAACACGUGGGUGAUCUGCCUUGCACUCUGGGAUAAGCUUGGGAAACUGGGUCUAAUACCGGAUAUGAACUGCCUUUAGUGUGGUGGUUGGAAAGUUUUUUCGGUGCAAGAUGAGCUCGCGGCCUAUCAGCUUGUUGGUGGGGUAAUGGCCUACCAAGGCGUCGACGGGUAGCCGGCCUGAGAGGGUGUACGGCCACAUUGGGACUGAGAUACGGCCCAGACUCCUACGGGAGGCGGCAGUGGGGAAUAUUGCACAAUGGGCGGAAGCCUGAUGCAGCGACGCCGCGUGGGGGAUGACGGCCUUCGGGUUGUAAACUCCUUUCGACAGGGACGAAGCUUUUUGUGACGGUACCUGUAUAAGAAGCACCGGCUAACUACGUG